Molecule: unclassified non-coding RNA, 301 nt
Filed under: plant metagenome
Description: partial contains small subunit ribosomal RNA, internal transcribed spacer 1, and 5.8S ribosomal RNA
Source: RNAcentral
UUUCCGUAGGUGAACCUGCGGAAGGAUCAUUAUUGAAACUUGAAUCGUAGCAUCGAGAACUGUCGCUGACCUGUUAAAAGGUAUGUGCACGUUCGACGUGUUGCGUUCUAUUCAUCCACCUGUGCACCUUUGUAGACUUGAUUAACUUUCGCUCUCGAGCGGUUAGAAGGGUUGCUUUCGAGCUCCCUUUGUCUAUCAAGUCUAUGUCUAUAUAAUCUCUUGUAUGUCUAGAAUGUCUUGUUUAUGGGACGCAAGUCCUUUAAAUCUUAUACAACUUUCAACAACGGAUCUCUUGGCUCUC